This 460-nucleotide ribosomal RNA is filed under the name uncultured bacterium. RNAcentral's name for it is "partial 16S ribosomal RNA". It matches the Rfam family "Bacterial small subunit ribosomal RNA", at positions 338 to 795 of the family's 1533-position model. The record is from RNAcentral.
CCUACGGGGGGCAGCAGUGAGGAAUAUUGGUCAAUGGACGGAAGUCUGAACCAGCCAUGCCGCGUGCAGGAAGACGGCUCUAUGAGUUGUAAACUGCUUUUGUACAAGGGUAAACCUGAAUACGUGUAUUCAGCUGAAAGUACUGUACGAAUAAGGAUCGGCUAACUCCGUGCCAGCAGCCGCGGUAAUACGUAGGUGGCAAGCGUUGUCCGGAUUUACUGGGUGUAAAGGGCGUGCAGCCGGGAAGACAAGUCAGAUGUGAAAUCCCGCGGCUCAACCGCGGAACUGCAUUUGAAACUGUUGUUCUUGAGUAUCGGAGAGGUAAUCGGAAUUCCUAGUGUAGCGGUGAAAUGCGUAGAUAUUAGGAAGAACACCAGUGGCGAAGGCGGAUUACUGGACGACAACUGACGGUGAGGCGCGAAAGCGUGGGGAGCAAACAGGAUUAGAUACCCCUGUAGUC